AGACAGGGACAGCGUGUAGAGCGUGGCUCCAUCCCAUGCAGGAGGUGCCUGGAGGGCUUGGGACCUGGAAUCACCCAGGCCCUGCCCCGGCCCUGGAGAACCUCAGCAUCACGCGGCAGACCUGGAUGUGGACCCGAAUGAUUCCAAUAUCCUGACAUGGAAGGUGGCAUCGGGUGUGCACACCCUGCCAGGGAGGACGUGGGAGCGCUGCUGUGCCUUGUGUCUGCAGGCACAGGAAAGCCCCCUAGAGGGCGCUUGAUCAAGUCCGGAGACUCGCAUCUGCCUGGCAGAGAAGAUACUGGGUGAGUGCCUGCUGUGAGCCGAGUGCUGUGCUAGGAGCUGGCGGUCAGGGAGGAGCAGGAACGAUGGAUAGAAUGAAUGAGCGCGUGGAGGACUCGGCCUUGUCCAGUUCAGGAAGAACGCAAUCUUGUCAAGUGUUUGUCAUCCAUGUGUUCAUGCACUCAUUAGACAGACAUUUACUGAGGCCUCCUCUAUUUGGGGCACUGCAGUGAACAAAACAGACAAAAGUCUCUGCCCUUGGAGCUUCAAUUCCAGGGAUUAAAAUGAGUAACGAUAACCAUUGUUCUUCUGACGCUUUUUUCAGAGCAACCACAAGGUCUUCAUCUAUGUCUGACUCAUCAACGAAGCAACCAAGACCCCAUGAGCCACUUCAUGAGCUCCAGGGAAUAACCAGCACUCAUGGGCGGAGUCUAAAACUAAUAUAAAUGCUUAGAAAUAAAAAUACAUGAUUUUAUCUCUCCUUUUUCCCCUAAAAUGUUGGUUUCUAAGGAAACGGAAACAUGUUUGACUCUAAAACUUCGAUUUUAGUGUUUAGCAUUGUGAACCCCAAAAUCUGAGACAGGUCUCAGUCAAUUUACGAAGUUUAUUUUGCCCAAGUUAAGGAUGUGUGUCUGUGACACAGCCUCAGAAGUUUUGACCACACGUGCCAAAGGUGGUCAGAGCACAGCUUGGUUUUAUACGUUUUAGGGAGACAUGAGACAUCAAUCAACAUACGUAAGAUGAACAUUGGCUUGGUCCGGAAAGGCGGGGCCUCGGUGACAUCAAUCAACAUAUGCAAGAUGAACAUUGGCUUGGUCCGGAAAGGCAGGGCCUCGGCGACAUCAAUUAACAUAUGUAAGAUGAACAUUGGCUUGGUCCGGAAAGGCGGGGCCUCAGUGACAUCAAUCAACAUAUGCAAGAUGAACAUUGGCUUGGUCCGGAAAGGCAGGGCCUCAGUGACAUCAAUCAACCUAUGUAAGAUGAACAUUGGCUUGGUCCAGAAAGGCAGGGCCUCAGUGACAUCAAUCAACGUAUGUAAGAUGAACACUGGCUUGGUCUGGAAAGGCGGGGCCUCAGUGACAUCAAUCAUCAUAUGCAAGAUGAACAUUGGCUUGGUCCAGAAAGGCGGGACCUCGGUCCAGAAAGGCGGGACAACUUGAAGCCAAGACAGGAAGCAGGAAAGGGGCUUCCAGGUCACAGGUAGAAACAAAUGGUUGCAUCCUUUUGAGUUUCUGAUUAGCCUCUCCAAAGGAGGCAACAAGAGAUGCGUUUAUCUCAGUGAGCAGAAGGGUGACUUUGAAUAGAGUGGGAGGCAGGUUGGCCCUGAGCAAUUCCCAGCUUGACUUUUCCCUUUAGCUUAGUGAUUUUGGAGCCCCAAGAUUUAUUUUCCUUUCACAGCAUGUGGCGGUUCUUUAUUCUCAUAAAUGAUUUCAAAACAUUAUGCACUUGGGGGAUUUUAUAAUGAAAAAUCGCGGUGUCCUAUUAAAGCACAAAGAGGCAAAGCAGAAGCAGCAGACAGGACGUCAAAGAACCAGUGCAUGGCUGCGCCGGGCCCCGGGGCUUCCCACACGGGUUACUGUCAUCCUUCCGAAUCACUGGACUUGAAGCCCAGCAUGUUGCUGAGUUUUGCUCCAGAGACAAUUGCCAUUUGUUAUUUAAGUGACAAAGGUAACGCAUGCCGGCGGGAAGCAAUGCACAAAAUGUGAAGGGAAGUUAGUUUUGGCUGCCAGCAGCUUUGUGGGACACAACCACAAGAAUGGAAGAUACAUGGCCAUUAGGAUUCUCACCUCCGGGACCAGAAGGAUCUAGACUCACUAGCUGUAUAAAUGUAGUCAAGUAAUUUAAACUCUUAAAACUACACAUGUCCUUGUCUAUAAAUUGAGAAUAAUAGUAUAGUUGUGAAGCUUACAUAUUUUAGGUAGAAUGUGAUUGUUGUUCGGCACACAGGAAAUGCUCAAUGCAUGUCAACU
This is a long non-coding RNA of Homo sapiens (human), 2249 nucleotides long. NCBI's taxonomy places the organism in Eukaryota, Metazoa, Chordata, Mammalia, Primates, Hominidae. The record is from Ensembl.